GACGAACGCUGGCGGCGUGCUUAACACAUGCAAGUCGAACGGAAAGGCCCUGCUUUUGUGGGGUGCUCGAGUGGCGAACGGGUGAGUAACACGUGAGUAACCUGCCCUUGACUUUGGGAUAACUUCAGGAAACUGGGGCUAAUACCGGAUAGGAGCUCCUGCUGCAUGGUGGGGGUUGGAAAGUUUCGGCGGUUGGGGAUGGACUCGCGGCUUAUCAGCUUGUUGGUGGGGUAGUGGCUUACCAAGGCUUUGACGGGUAGCCGGCCUGAGAGGGUGACCGGCCACAUGGGGACGGGGAUACGGCCCAGACUCCUACGGGAGGCAGCAGUGGGGAAUAGUGCACAAUGGGCGGAAGCCUGAUGCAGCAACGCCGCGUGCGGGAUGACGGCCUUCGGGUUGGAAACCGCUUUCGCCUGUGACGAAGCGUGAGUGACGGUAAUGGGUAAAGAAGCACCGGCUAACUACGU
This 467-nucleotide ribosomal RNA is filed under the name uncultured bacterium. RNAcentral describes it as "partial 16S ribosomal RNA". It matches the Rfam family "Bacterial small subunit ribosomal RNA", at positions 28 to 506 of the family's 1533-position model. The record is from RNAcentral.